Molecule: long non-coding RNA, 924 nt
Filed under: Capsicum annuum
Lineage: Eukaryota; Viridiplantae; Streptophyta; Magnoliopsida; Solanales; Solanaceae
Description: long non-coding RNA (CANN_LNC008916)
Source: RNAcentral
UCCUUUGUCGUGUAAUCUCUGAUCCUUGGAGAUUAAUUUUUGUAGAGCCCAUGAUUCAAUAGGAAUAAAAUUUUGUGAAUCCUAACAGAAAAAUAAAAAGAAUUACUUUAAUUAUGAUUAUUAAUUAUAGUAAAGUCAUGCUAAUUUUACAAUAAAAAGCUAAAAAUAUAAUAUUUAAAGAAAAAUAAGUGAAAAGAUAAUUUUAUCUAUUAUAAUAUUAUAAAUAUAAAUUAUAGAUUAUACAUAUAAAUUAUUAUGAUAUAAAUUAUGAUGUAAAUAAUUGGAUAAAAUAAUUCUGAUACUACCUAUCAUAUAUUAUGAUACAAUACCUCUAACCAAAUGUACUAUAAAAUAAUCCGAUAUUAUUAUACCUUAUCCUCAGUCCAAAUGACUCCUAAAUGAAAUACUCUCUUCAUUUUAAAAGAAUGACUUGUUUAAUUUGGUAUAAAAUUGAAGAAAAUAAAAACUUUGAUCUUAAAUAAAAGUUACGUUAGAUGUAUCUAAAAUAUCUUUUAAUUUUAUGCUCUUAAAUAUGUCAUAUAAAAAAAAAAAAAUUAAAAUAUUAUCAAUUAUUUCUUUUUAAACGGAAAAAAAAAAUAGUUCAUGAGUUUGGCAUACAUUGGGAUUGGGGACUACUAAUAGAUAUCAUGAGCCAAAGCACUAUUUGCUCUUCAGAAUUUUGCUUCUCUAAUCAACACUGCAACUGAGCAAAGUAGAAGAAGAGUGGGGGAAAUGGAGGGUACUAAGGGAGGAGUAGUGAAGCACAUUUUGCUAGCAAAGUUCAAAGAUGAAAUCUCACCUGACAAAAUUGAUCAACUCAUUAAGCAAUAUGCCAAUCUUGUCAAUCUCAUUGAACCCAUGAAGGCUUUUCAUUGGUACUCCUCAUCUUUCUUAUCUCCGUCACUAAUUUUCAAUCUUGAUGUG